Molecule: ribosomal RNA, 495 nt
Filed under: uncultured bacterium
Lineage: Bacteria
Description: partial 16S ribosomal RNA
Rfam family: Bacterial small subunit ribosomal RNA
Source: RNAcentral
GACGAACGCUGGCGGCGUGCCUAAUACAUGCAAGUCGAACGCAAAAGGCGGGGCUUGCUUCGCUGGAUGAGUUGCGAACGGGUGAGUAACGCGUAGGUAACCUGCCUGGUAGCGGGGGAUAACUUUAGGAAACGAUAGCUAAUACCGCAUAAGAGUUGAUGCUGCAUGACGUUGGCUUAAAAGGUGCAAUUGCAUCGCUACCAGACGGACCUGCGUUGUAUUAGCUUGUUGGUGGGGUUACGGCUCACCAAGGCGGCGAGACAUAGUCGCCCGGAGAGGGGGGGUAGCCACCCUGGGACUGUGACACGGCCCAGACUCCUAGGGGUGGGAGCCGUAGGGCAUCUUCGGGAAUGGGCGGAAAACUGACCGCGCAACGCCGCGUGAGUGAAGAAGGUUGUCGGGUCGUGAAGGUCUGUUUUCAGGUAGGAACGAGUGUGCGAGUGGAAAGUUCACAGAGUGACGGUAUCUGACCAGAAAGCGACGGCUAACUACGUG